Molecule: ribosomal RNA, 254 nt
Filed under: uncultured bacterium
Lineage: Bacteria
Description: partial 16S ribosomal RNA
Rfam family: Bacterial small subunit ribosomal RNA
Source: RNAcentral
UACGUAGGGUGCGAGCGUUAAUCGGAAUUACUGGGCGUAAAGCGUGCGCAGGCGGUUUUGUAAGCCAGAUGUGAAAGCCCCGGGCUUAACCUGGGAAUGGCAUUUGGGACUGCAAGGCUGGAGUGUGGCAGAGGAGACUGGAAUUCCUGGUGUAGCAGUGAAAUGCGUAGAUAUCAGGAGGAAUACCGAUGGCGAAGGCAGGUCUCUGGGCUGACACUGACGCUCAUGCACGAAAGCGUGGGGAGCAAACAAGG